Molecule: long non-coding RNA, 928 nt
Organism: Terrapene triunguis (Three-toed box turtle)
Lineage: Eukaryota; Metazoa; Chordata; Testudines; Emydidae
Exons: 2
Source: RefSeq, a predicted model, not a curated record
CUGCUGCACAAGAUCGAGUCUGAGAGGAUCAAACCAAUCCCGUACUGCUACGGCAGCCGGGGCCCACCCGCGGCAGACGAGCUGAUGAAGAGAGUCGGGUUCCAGUACGAGGGCACCUACCGCUGGGUGAAUCCGCACAAGCUCUGAGCCAGGGGCCAGCUGCUGCCUCCCCAGAGCAACCCUGCUUCUCGCCCUGGGGGGUCUAUCUGCUCCGCUCGCUGCUCCCCCUCCUCCAGGGGCACCUGGGGUGGGGACGUGUGGCUGGGGGCCGAGAGGGAAGGGGAGAGUUGGGUAUGGGUGGCCAGCAGAGACAGGCAGGGUUGGGGGAGCUGGGGACGGGGUGGGGGGGACUGGCAGAGAAGGGCAGGGAUGGGAGAGCUGGGUAGGGUGGGGGAGGCUGGCAGAGAAGGCCAGGGAGGGUGGAGCUGGGCACUGGGGAUAUGUCCUGGACAACCAAAUGGGUUGCGAUUUCUGUGGCCCCCCACCCCCCUCCAGUGGGCCCAGGUCCUAGUUCACCCAGGUCUCCUACAGCCCCCACCCAGACACUAACCCCCCACCCAUCUCAUCUACACCUUCCUCCAAUACCCUACAGCUCCCUGGGUCUGGAUUCCCUGCCCCCUCCAGAUGCACUCCAGCCAGGUCCCUACCCCGCACUGGGCCUAGAUCCCCUUCUCCACCCACAUCCUGGGACCACAACUGGGCCGGGCACGGCCUGUCGUGUUUACAGCCCAUCUCGCUCCCCGCCCCUGCCCUAGGCUCUGGCCCCACACUGGGUUGAGGGAGCUGAGAGCCUCUGGCUUCGGUGGGGCCGACUGCCGCCACCUCGCCCUGGACUCUGCUUGCUUUGCUGCUGAGACAUUCCAGCCCCGCCACAGCCCUGGGGCUUUUGUAAAUGGCGCCGUUUUGUAAACAGAGAUUGUUGGAAUCA